This 429-nucleotide ribosomal RNA is filed under the name Carapoia jiboia. Its description in RNAcentral is "partial 16S ribosomal RNA". The record is from RNAcentral. Lineage: Eukaryota; Metazoa; Arthropoda; Arachnida; Araneae; Pholcidae.
UUUUUUAAGAAAUUAUUUAAAAUAAAACCUGCUCAAUGUAUAAUAAAUAGCCGCAGUCAACUGUGCUAAGGUAGCAUAAUCAUUAGCUUUUUAAUUAAAAGAUAGAAUGAAUGGUUAUAUGAAAUAUAAGUCGUUUCUAUUAAAAUUAAUUAAUUUUUAAUUAAAGUUAAAAUACUUUAAAUUAUUAGAAAGACGAUAAGACCCUGACAAACUUAAUAUUUAGCUGGGGUGGCAAAUAAAAUAAACCUUAAUUAAUAAUUAGAAUUAAAAUUCUAUUUUAAAUAAAAAUAAAAGUUACUGCAGGGAUAACAGCGCAAUUUUUUUUUAAAGUUCAAAUUAAAAAAAAAGUUUACGACCUCGAUGUUGAAUUAAUAUUCUUUAUUUAGAGCAAAAUCUAUAACAGAUAGUCUGUUCGACUAUUAAACAAUU